UUGUGGCUGGAAUACGAGACAUAAUGGUUGG
RNAcentral lists this non-coding RNA (31 nucleotides) under Homo sapiens (human). The record is from RNAcentral. Lineage: Eukaryota; Metazoa; Chordata; Mammalia; Primates; Hominidae.